GCUGGGUGCAGAGGCAUGUACUUUGUAGUCCCAGCUGCUGAGGAGGUGGAGGCAGGAGGAUCACUUGAGGCCAGGAGUUCUGGGCUGUAGUGAAUUGUGCUUAUUGGUUAUCCACACCAAUGACUUCCCUGGAGUGGAAAACACUUGUUGCUUAAGGAGGGAUGAACUGGCCCAGGUCAAAAACAUGGCAGGAAAAAACUUCUAUGCUGAUUCAUAAUGAGAUUAAGCCUGUGAAUAGCCAUGUGGUUCAGCAUGGACAAUAUAGCAAGAUCCUGUCUUAU
Molecule: signal recognition particle RNA, 281 nt
Filed under: Otolemur garnettii (small-eared galago)
Lineage: Eukaryota; Metazoa; Chordata; Mammalia; Primates; Galagidae
Description: Metazoan signal recognition particle RNA
Rfam family: Metazoan signal recognition particle RNA
About the family: The signal recognition particle (SRP) is a universally conserved ribonucleoprotein. It is involved in the co-translational targeting of proteins to membranes. The eukaryotic SRP consists of a 300-nucleotide 7S RNA and six proteins: SRPs 72, 68, 54, 19, 14, and 9.
Source: Rfam by way of RNAcentral